Molecule: unclassified non-coding RNA, 224 nt
Filed under: plant metagenome
Description: partial contains small subunit ribosomal RNA, internal transcribed spacer 1, and 5.8S ribosomal RNA
Source: RNAcentral
UCUCCGUUGGUGAACCAGCGGAGGGAUCGUUACAGGACUCGCAAGACUCCUUCACCCUGUGAACCUCACUACAAGCACGUUGCUUCGGCGGGUGUCCCGGCGGGGGUUUUCCCUCGCCGGGGCGCACAGCCCGCCGGCAGCCUGCUAUACUCUGUCUCUUUGCGUUGGCAUCUCGAGAAAAAACAAACAAGUUAAAACUUUCAACAACGGAUCUCUUGGUUCUG